RNAcentral lists this ribosomal RNA (754 nucleotides) under Pristimantis diadematus. RNAcentral describes it as "partial 12S ribosomal RNA". It matches the Rfam family "Bacterial small subunit ribosomal RNA", at positions 330 to 1407 of the family's 1533-position model. The record is from RNAcentral. Lineage: Eukaryota; Metazoa; Chordata; Amphibia; Anura; Strabomantidae.
CUUACACCCACCUAGGGGUAAGGAGCUGAUAUCAGGCACAAAAUUGCCCAAAACAUCUAGCCACGCCACACCCACAAGGGCCUUCAGCAGUGAUUAACCUUAAGAAUAAACGUCAGUUUGACUUAGUUAGAUGAAAGCAGAGCCGGCCAAUCUGGUGCCAGCCGCCGCGGUUACACCAUAGGCUCUAAUUGAUUUUAACACGGCGUAAAGCGUGAUUAAAGAAAUCUCUUCUGGGGUCAAAAUUAAAUUAAGCUGUAAUACGAUUAUUUUUAAGAAGCCCUAUCUCGAAAGACACCCCAAUUAAUCAACUUGAAUUCACAACAACUAGGGUACAAACUGGAAUUAGAUACUCCACUAUGCCUAGUCGUAAACUUUAACUUACACCACAUCGCCAGGGAACUACGAGCAAAGCUUAAAACCCAAAGGACUUGACGGUGCCCCACAUCUUUCUAGAGGAGCCUGUCCUACAACCGAUACUCCCCGUUCAACCUCACCGCCCUUGGCCAAUCAGCCUGUAUACUUCCGUCGCCAGCUUACCGCGUGAGCGAGUGAGUAAGCUUAAUGUCCCACAUCAACACGUCAGGUCAAAGUGCAGCACAUAGAGCGGCAAGAGAUGGGCUACACUUUCUACCGUAGAAGACACGAAAGAAUAUGUGAAACCAUAUUCAGAAGGUGGAUUUAGCAGUAAGGGGACAUUAGAAUACCCCCCUUAACCCAGCACUGGGGCGUGUACACACCGCCCGUCACCCUCUUC